RNAcentral lists this ribosomal RNA (480 nucleotides) under uncultured microorganism. Its description in RNAcentral is "bacterial SSU rRNA". It matches the Rfam family "Bacterial small subunit ribosomal RNA", at positions 9 to 454 of the family's 1533-position model. The record is from RNAcentral.
GAGUUUGAUCGUGGCUCAGGACGAACGCUGGCGGCGUGCCUAAUACAUGCAAGUCGAGCGAGUCUGCCUUGAAGAUCGGAGUGCUUGCACUCUGUGAAACAAGAUACAGGCUAGCGGCGGGACGGGGUGAGUAACACGUGGGUAACCUGCCCAAGAGAUCGGGAUAACACCUGGAAACAGAUGCUAAUACCGGAUAACAACAGAUGAUGCCUAUCAACUGUUUAAAAGAUGGUUCUGCUAUCACUCUUGGAUGGACCUGCGGUGCAUUAGCUAGUUGGUAGGGUAACGGCCUACCAAGGCGAUGAUGCAUAGCCGAGUUGAGAGACUGAUCGGCCACAUUGGGACUGAGACACGGCCCAAACUCCUACGGGAGGCAGCAGUAGGGAAUCUUCCACAAUGGACGCAAGUCUGAUGGAGCAACGCCGCGUGAGUGAAGAAGGGUUUCGGCUCGUAAAGCUCUGUUGUUGGUGAAGAAGGACA